Molecule: small nucleolar RNA, 125 nt
Organism: Octodon degus (degu)
Lineage: Eukaryota; Metazoa; Chordata; Mammalia; Rodentia; Octodontidae
Source: Ensembl
AAGCAACACUCUGUGUCAGAUUAUUAAGACAGUCUGACACAGUUUCAGCUUGCUAAAGCAAGGAAAUUCAGCCUAUUGCAGCACUCUCCUCCCUGUGAGACAGACAUUAUGUAGACCUAAGCAGU